AAUGGAAUGGUUAGAUCAUAUGGUGAGUGAAUAUUUAACUUUUUAAGAAACUGCCAAACCACUUUGAAAACUGCCUGUACCAUUUUACAUUCCUUCUACCAGU
Molecule: microRNA precursor, 103 nt
Filed under: Marmota monax (woodchuck)
Lineage: Eukaryota; Metazoa; Chordata; Mammalia; Rodentia; Sciuridae
Source: RNAcentral